RNAcentral lists this unclassified non-coding RNA (159 nucleotides) under uncultured Xylariaceae. RNAcentral's name for it is "sequence contains ITS2". Lineage: Eukaryota; Fungi; Ascomycota; Sordariomycetes; Xylariales; Xylariaceae. The record is from RNAcentral.
CAACCAUUAAGCCUUGUAGCUUAGCGUUGGGAGCCUACGUUUACAGCGUAGCUCCUUAAAGUCAGUGGCAGAGUCAGAGCACACUCUAGGCGUAGUAGUUAAUAUCUCGCCUCUGCAGUGGCUUUGGUUGCUUGCCGUAAAACCCCUAUAUCUUAUAUU